Molecule: long non-coding RNA, 673 nt
Filed under: Numida meleagris (helmeted guineafowl)
Lineage: Eukaryota; Metazoa; Chordata; Aves; Galliformes; Numididae
Description: lncRNA (ENSNMEG00000015971.1)
Source: RNAcentral
UGUUCUGGCAGUUGGAUCGUGGAUCUUUCUAUCUUUUUACAUAGGGACUUCCACUUCUUUAUGCUUACUCCAGUUUGAAUAAGAAAAGGAAAAUUAAACAUCUUGUCUGAACAAGAAAGCAAGUGUCUUCCGCGUUAAGAUAAUGGAAGUGGUUGUCAUUUGUGAUGGCUAGAUUAAUCAGCAGAAACUUACUAUUUGGACAGGAUACAGGAUUUACUUCUGAAAGACUAAAGGCAUUUUUAAUUGCAAAAGAUGGAUAGGAAUGUGGAUAUGGAACGUGUUCUUAUUUGCAGCAAACACAACAUCCUUGUGGCCAUCAGGACGUUGUAGAGAUGAAGGCCAUACGAGUACACAGGUGGAUGCAUGGGUGAAAUGGGUGAGUGAUGUUUUCUUGUUUCCCCUUUCACACGAGUGUUGGGCCAAAUGCUGGCGGCUUGCACAAAGCUGGGCUCUGUGCAGGAGUUGGUGGAGGUGCUCCCGGGGAAUGUCCUGGGGGAUUGGAGUCUGUUGCCGUAGCAACUGGAUGCAUGCCUUAACAAUAGAUGUGAUUCUGCCCUGUAUCCCCUCCAUCCUUUCCUCUGUAACAAAGCAACAAAUGGGCUUUGCUUCCCUUUGCGUGCCACCUGUUAGAGCCCCAAGAGCCAGGAAUGUUGCCAGCUUUACCACAGCAUAA